Molecule: ribosomal RNA, 301 nt
Filed under: uncultured bacterium
Lineage: Bacteria
Description: partial 16S ribosomal RNA
Rfam family: Bacterial small subunit ribosomal RNA
Source: RNAcentral
CAGCAGCCGCGGUAAUACGAAGGGUGCAAGCGUUAAUCGGAAUUACUGGGCGUAAAGCGUGCGUAGGCGGUUUGUUAAGUCUGCUGUGAAAUCCCCGGGCUCAACCUGGGAAUGGCAGUGGAUACUGGCAAGCUAGAGUGUGUCAGAGGAUGGUGGAAUUCCCGGUGUAGCGGUGAAAUGCGUAGAGAUCGGGAGGAACAUCAGUGGCGAAGGCGGCCAUCUGGGACAACACUGACGCUGAGGCACGAAAGCGUGGGGAGCAAACAGGAUUAGAGACCCCGGUAGUCCCUGUCUCUUAUAC